UACGAAGGGGGCUAGCGUUGCUCGGAAUCACUGGGCGUAAAGCGCACGUAGGCGGAUCUUUAAGUCAGGGGUGAAAUCCCGGAGCUCAACUCCGGAACUGCCCUUGAUACUGAGGGUCUCGAGUCCGGGAGAGGUGAGUGGAACUGCGAGUGUAGAGGUGAAAUUCGUAGAUAUUCGCAAGAACACCAGUGGCGAAGGCGGCUCACUGGCCCGGUACUGACGCUGAGGUGCGAAAGCGUGGGGAGCAAACAGG
This 253-nucleotide ribosomal RNA is filed under the name uncultured bacterium. Its description in RNAcentral is "partial 16S ribosomal RNA". It matches the Rfam family "Bacterial small subunit ribosomal RNA", at positions 524 to 776 of the family's 1533-position model. The record is from RNAcentral.